Long non-coding RNA from Antechinus flavipes (yellow-footed antechinus), 542 nucleotides. RefSeq lists it as uncharacterized. NCBI's taxonomy places the organism in Eukaryota, Metazoa, Chordata, Mammalia, Dasyuromorphia, Dasyuridae. The record is from RefSeq and is a predicted model, not a curated record. The transcript has 2 exons.
UUAGUUCUAGUCCCAAUUAUUCUAGCUGACAUUUCUACUGAUGACUCACAAAUGUAACUAUGGCAUCAUCCAAGAAACAAGGCUCAGAGGGCUGUGUGUGCUGCAGCUAGCAUCAAAGUCCCAAGAAAUCAGAGGGAGGGCCAACUGAAGGCUUUGGCAAUGAACAAUCACACACCCACUGGGCCCUGCCGUCCUCACUGAAGUAAACAGUUGGGCGUCUUUCAACAGAAAAAGAAAUCUCCAAGUUGAAGAUAUUAAGGCCCUGCCUGGAUGCCAAGUUUUCUGAAAAGGUCUUUGACUGGAGGCUUGAGCUGUGAGUUGGUUCGGACCCCUGCCAAACCAUCUGGUUGCGAUGUUAGUUUCCAUAGUAUCCCCCCUGAAAUCAUGGACUUUGGGUUAAAAAUCUCUGCUGUACCUAGAAGGAAAAUUCUUUACCAUUUGGCCAAGGUAUUCUCCUGGAUCGCAGCAUAAGAUCCAAACCUGUGCUCUUUGAGGAAGUUGGCACCGUGUUUCUGAAUAAAUUCGUCAAUGGCUCCACCCCA